RNAcentral lists this ribosomal RNA (229 nucleotides) under uncultured bacterium. Its description in RNAcentral is "partial 16S ribosomal RNA". It matches the Rfam family "Bacterial small subunit ribosomal RNA", at positions 568 to 796 of the family's 1533-position model. The record is from RNAcentral.
UGCGUAGGCGGGGCAAUUAGUCAGUGGUGAAAUCCUGCGGCUUAACCGUAGAACUGCCAUUGAUACUGUUGCCCUUGAGUAUAGUUGAGGUGGGCGGAAUGUGUAAUGUAGCGGUGAAAUGCAUAGAGAUUACACAGAACACCAAUUGCGAAGGCAGCUCACUAAACUAUCACUGACGCUGAGGCACGAAAGCGUGGGGAGCGAACAGGAUUAGAUACCCUGGUAGUCC